AGAUAUACCUAAUUAAUCAACUCAAAUAGAUAUAUGCCUUUAUUUUGGAAGCCAGUUGGGACCACAACAAUGAACAAUGAUAUCUUUUUCUGGAUACAAGAGCUUCAAUAGCGUCAAAUAGGCAAUUCCAGCUUUUAGUUUAUGCCUGCAGGGGAUGAUGGGAAGUAAGGUAUCAUAGUGCUGAUUAUGAUGAAAAUUUUCAAUAAAAACCACCGAAGCAACCAAAAUAUUUCAAUAUUUACAAGUAUAAGCUAUCACUCCGUGUUUACACAGCCACCAUUUUUAUUUUUUCAGCAUAAUCAGCAAUGUGAUACCUUACUUCCCAUCGUCCCUUGCACGCAUAAACUAAAAGCUGGAAUUUGCUAUUGUCCUGGUCUAAACUUUCAAUGUCCAAGUUCUAGUUUACAGCACCGUCUAUUGAAAUUCUUUCUGGAGUUGAAAUUCUUUUUGGAGGCAAUGUUCCACUUUCAACAGUUUCUCAUCAACUUUUGGUAGCAAUAGUAAUGGCAUCAUUGGAACAAUUUAUAUCAUUGCCAAAUGACACUUUGUAUUCUGUGUACAUUAGUUCAUACUAGAUUGACACAUCAUCCAUGGAAUUAUUCUGUAGAAUAAUUAAGAUAUAUGUAUGUUACCAUAGGAACCAUACUAUAGGUUCACCUGGCA
Non-coding RNA from Paramuricea clavata, 663 nucleotides. The record is from the annotation of a GenBank genome assembly. NCBI's taxonomy places the organism in Eukaryota, Metazoa, Cnidaria, Anthozoa, Malacalcyonacea, Plexauridae.